CCUCUUCCUAAUCCCUCAGCCCGGGGCUCCCAUCUCCCCAAGUUCUCCCCCCUCUUCCUACUCCCUCAGCCCGGGGCUCCCAUCUCCCCAAGUUCUCCCCCCUCUUCCUACUCCCUCAGCCCGGGGCUCCCAUCUCCCCAAGUUCUCCCCCCUCUUCCUACUCCCUCAGCCCGGGGCUCCCAUCUCCCCAAGUUCUCCCCCCUCUUCCUACUCCCUCAGCCCGGGGCUCCCAUCUCCCCAGGCAGAGAGCGGCCACCUGAGUUACCGCAUGGCCUGCCACUGCCUCCCUCCUGACCUGGAAGAGUCCAGACCGUCUUCCAGUCUGUAUCCCCAGCACCUGGUCGGAUGGAGGGGUCCGCAGUGGCGCCCAGGGCAGCUCUAUCUGGACGCCCCCACCCCCAUGGGUGUCGCCCCUGGAGCUGCCCAGCCAGUGCCCACUGCAGACAAAGUCCUGGCUCCCAGCUGCCUCCUCUCUGGUCCACUUAGCCCACACUGAGCCCCCAGGGCAGCAGCUCUCCAAGCACACCCUGGCCCUGGCCCGCCCCACGCACAACCUCCUCUUCUGACCUCAGAGGUCAAGAAGGCGACGGCUCAGAGAAGAGGCUGGGGACAGCCAGGGUCAGAGUGAAGUGAGGACCCCGCCCCACCUCCGGGCCAGCAGGAGAGGGAGCCAGAAACCAGCUCAAGGGCUGCCCAGACAAGGACAGCGGCUUUUAACGCAGAGCUGCACACCGAGGAGGAGCUCCAGAGGCAAACCAGGACGCACCACCCCAAACUGUGCCAUGUUGGGGUGAGGGCUGUUUUCCCACAAAGGCAACUGAGAAGCGGCAGAUCCAAGGAAAGCUCCCCCAACUCAGGUCCUGCCUCAGAGCGGCACAGGAAUGACUGACAAGGGCAAGGCCCCUCCCUCCACCAGAACCGACAAAGGUCGAGGCAGCUUCAGGCCCUGCCGUCCUCUGCCAGCUCCCUGCCUCCUCCGAGAUGCCACCUGGAGACUCAUAGUCCAUGUCCUGUCAUGUGACAUCCCUAAAAUUUGACUGUUUGUUGAAGACGCCACGUGGGCCUGAAUUCACAGCCAGCUCUUUGAGAAUCACUCAUUCCCUGGCCACUCCCAAGUAGACGUGAAACAUGCACGUCAUGAGCCUCUGUUAUUUCUCCUGUUAAUCUGUCUGUAGCUGCAGGGUCCAUCCCAGCUGGGAACUAGAAAGGGUAGACAGAAAACUAUUUCUCCACCCCUACGAGAACAAACCCCAGGCAGGGAGUACAGCAGGGACCCCUCCCACAGUCCCCGUCGCCCCCCAGUCCCCGCCCCUCCCACAGUCCCCACGGAUGCGUGCUCAGGCCAGAGAGGGCUGAACACAUCCCCUGCCCGGGGACUUGCCCAGGAAGGACUGGUUGUGAAAGAAGAAAAACCACAUCCACAGAAUAUGUUCAUUUGGUUUUGUUUUUUUGAGACAGGGUCUCCCUCUGUCACCCAGGCCGGAGGGCAGUAGAGUGAUCGUGGCUCACACUUCAACCUCCUGUGCUCAGUCAGUCCUCCCACCUCUGCCUCCUGAGUAGCUGGGACUGCAGGCAUGUACCACCAUGCCUGGCUGAUUAUUUUUUUUGUAGAAACGGCGGGUGGUCGGGGGUGGGGGGCCGGUCUCACCAUGUUGCCCAGGCUGGUCUUGAACUCCUGACCUCAAGCAGUCCUCCCACCUCAGCUUCCCAAAGCGCUGAGAUUACAGGUGUGAGCCACGUGCCUGGCGUCCACAAAGUAUGUGAAUACAGUCACGCUUCAUAACAACGUUUCACCCAACCCCGGACCACAGAGAUGAUGCUGGCCCCAUAACAUUAAAAUGGAGCUGAAAAACUGCCAUCACCUUAAUGACGAUGUCACCAUGUUGUAGCACAAUUACUUGUUAAUAUCAGUUUAGUGUGGCCUCAGUGUGCAGCAUUUAUAAAGUCUAGAGUAGAGUACGGUCAUCUCCUAGGCCUUCGCAACCCCUCACGCUCACCCACUGCCUCGCCAGAGCAACCUCCAGUCCCGCGAGACCCACUCGUGAUGGGCACCCCAGGCAGGUGUGGCAUUUUUACCUUUUAUACCAUACUUUUACGGUCCCUUUUCUAGGAUUAGCUUUUGUGUUCAGGCACAUACUCAGCAUUAUGUCACAACUGCUUCCGGCAUUAAGUGGAUGACAGCUGUGGUUUGUCACCUAGGGGCAAUGGCUACACCACACAGCCUUGGUGUGGAAGAGGCUGUCCCAUCUGGGUGUGAGUGCCCUCCGUGAUGCUCACACAAAACGAAACCACCUAAUGACACAUUUCUCAGGACGCAUCCCCAUCAUUCAGCAACACCCAACUGUAUUCCCGAGCAACGGCGGCCUGCACCCGGAACUCACGCUGCCUCGGGUCCCAAAGGCUGAGAAUGUGGAGAUUAAAGAGGUUCCGGGCGGGGCCCCAGGCCCUCACCCUCCCCACCCACUGCAGAAGCAAACCACCUCCCCUGCAGGCCUCAAAUAAUUCCUACAGAUAAAAAUCUAACGAAUAUGAGCUCAUGCCAAAAAUCACACACACAAGAAGACAAACCACCACGGCUAAGGUCAGAAUCAGACCCACAAACACCUCAGACGCUGUCAUUUCCAGACACAGAACACAAACGUGUCAUGUGUAAAGAAAUAAGAGACAAAAAUAUAAAACCAAAAAAUCUGACCAAGCAAUUUUUAAAUAUCCACGCCAAUCUUCCGGAGAUGAAAUGCAUCAUGGCUGGCCUGUGGACCUUAGCAGACAGAUCUGACGGCCGAUCACACACGGCAGAGAACGCCAAGCUGGAGACACUGCAAAUAGCAUCCAAACCUGAGAGGCGGGACCCUGGCAGCAGCCGAUAAGAAACAAGGGGGCUUGGACUGAGUUCCAAGAGGAGAACAGAGGAAGGGGAGAAACGGUGUUUGAAGAGGCUCUGGUGGCUGAGGAAUUUCUAAAGCCAGCAAGACCCCAAAGCCCAAGAAGUGCCAGGCAGGUAAACACUCACCCGGCCAACAGGCAGGUAAACAAACACUCAUCUGGCCGACUCCCGGCCAAACCAGAGUGAAACCGCAGAACCCCAAAGACAAUGGAAGGAGCUGAAAGCAGCAAAAAGGAAAAAGCAGGCUGGGCGCGGUGGCUCACACCUGCAAUCUCAGCACUUUGGGAGACUGAGGCGGGUGGAUCACGAGGUCAGGAGUUCGAGACCAGCCUGGCCAACAUGGUGAAACACCCCGUCUCUACUAAAAAUACAAAAUUAGCCAGGCAUGG
This 3273-nucleotide long non-coding RNA is filed under the name Homo sapiens (human). RNAcentral's name for it is "HSALNT0309864". Lineage: Eukaryota; Metazoa; Chordata; Mammalia; Primates; Hominidae. The record is from RNAcentral.